AUACUGCUGAGGAGUCCCACAAUAGGACGAAAUGACCGUCCAGAGUAU
Molecule: non-coding RNA, 48 nt
Organism: Schistosoma mattheei
Lineage: Eukaryota; Metazoa; Platyhelminthes; Trematoda; Strigeidida; Schistosomatidae
Source: Rfam